AGACACACGUCAAGGACCAAAUGGGACCUUCCGCACCACACCUGCCUCUCAGCGAUCUAACAACCACCUUCUCGUGUACUCGUCCAGGGAGGGACUCACCGCAAGGAACAGCUGUCGGCUCGGAGGAGGGGGACCGCAGUGCAAUAUGUGCCGUCAGAGUUUAAGAACCGCUACUCUCCUGAACGGCUCCACCCUGCAGAUGGUUCCCUUGGGCCCUACCCUUGCCACACUUGGGCCAGAUGCGCUCAUGUACCGUGGCAAGUCAUGUGUUCAGAGCCAGAUAUGAAAGUUUGAUGAGAUGGUCAGUUUAUCAUUCCGUAAUGCUGCCUCGCCAAGCCUCACCUACAAUAGCUACAGAAUGGUGACAGCGGUAGAAAAGUUCUUUACGCGCGAAAUAAUGGAUCUUCUCUUGGUUUUAACUCUGAGUGGCUGUAACUAUACAUUGAAACAACUUUUUUUUUCCAAGCAAUGCAAACACGACUACGAUUGGGUGAAACAAGGUACGAGAUGCGAGCAUAUAAAUUCUGAUGCUGAUUAUGGCAGUGUUUGAAGUGAGGACUAUAAAACUGUCGGACAUUUUUUUUCCUACCAUGACAAAUAAGAUUGUAUUAUAUCACAAUAGCAAUUGAAGAGCCAGAAAAGAAAGUAAAAUCAAAUCAGUGAAAAAAUACUAGAGAAUAAAGAUGAAUAUCCGUCCAUGAGCAUAUUUUUUUUUAUGGAUCAAUGUGUGUGUG
Long non-coding RNA from Portunus trituberculatus (swimming crab), 734 nucleotides. RefSeq lists it as uncharacterized. The transcript is spliced from 3 exons. The record is from RefSeq and is a predicted model, not a curated record. NCBI's taxonomy places the organism in Eukaryota, Metazoa, Arthropoda, Malacostraca, Decapoda, Portunidae.